AGCCAUCAUUUAAAGAGUGCGUAAUAGCUCACUAGUCGAGUGACACUGCGCCGAAAAUGUACCGGGGCUAAACAUAUUACCGAAGCUGUGGAUUGUCCUUCGGACAAUGGUAGGAGAGCGUUCUAAGGGCGUUGAAGCAUGAUCGCAAGGACAUGUGGAGCGCUUAGAAGUGAGAAUGCCGGUGUGAGUAGCGAAAGACGGGUGAGAAUCCCGUCCACCGAUUGACUAAGGUUUCCAGAGGAAGGCUCGUCCGCUCUGGGUUAGUCGGGUCCUAAGCUGAGGCCGACAGGCGUAGGCGAUGGAUAACAGGUUGAUAUUCCUGUACCACCUAGUAUCGUUUUAAUCGAUGGGGGGACGCAGUAGGAUAGGCGAAGCGUGCUGUUGGAGUGCACGUCCAAGCAGUAAGGCUGAGUGUUAGGCAAAUCCGGCACUCGUUAGGCUGAGCUGUGAUGGGGAGAGGAAAUUGUUUCCUCGAGUCGUUGAUUUCACACUGCCGAGAAAAGCCUCUAGAUAGAUAACAGGUGCCCGUACCGCAAACCGACACAGGUAGUCAAGAUGAGAAUUCUAAGGUGAGCGAGCGAACUCUCGUUAAGGAACUCGGCAAAAUGACCCCGUAACUUCGGGAGAAGGGGUGCUCUUUAGGGUUCACGCCCAGAAGAGCCGCAGUGAAUAGGCCCAAGCGACUGUUUAUCAAAAACACAGGUCUCUGCUAAACCGUAAGGUGAUGUAUAGGGGCUGACGCCUGCCCGGUGCUGGAAGGUUAAGAGGAGUGGUUAGCUUCUGCGAAGCCACGAAUCGAAGCCCC
RNAcentral lists this ribosomal RNA (805 nucleotides) under Salmonella enterica subsp. enterica serovar Typhi. RNAcentral describes it as "partial 23S ribosomal RNA". It matches the Rfam family "Bacterial large subunit ribosomal RNA", at positions 1114 to 1921 of the family's 2925-position model. Lineage: Bacteria; Pseudomonadati; Pseudomonadota; Gammaproteobacteria; Enterobacterales; Enterobacteriaceae. The record is from RNAcentral.